GCCCGUGUAGCUCAGGGGGGAGAGCGCCGCCUUCACACGGCGGAGGGCCCAGGUUCGAGACCUGGUGCGGGCA
RNAcentral lists this transfer RNA (73 nucleotides) under Dactylosporangium fulvum. RNAcentral's name for it is "tRNA-Val". It matches the Rfam family "tRNA". Rfam says of the family: Transfer RNA (tRNA) molecules are approximately 80 nucleotides in length. Their secondary structure includes four short double-helical elements and three loops (D, anti-codon, and T loops). Lineage: Bacteria; Bacillati; Actinomycetota; Actinomycetes; Micromonosporales; Micromonosporaceae. The record is from RNAcentral.